This 253-nucleotide ribosomal RNA is filed under the name uncultured bacterium. Its description in RNAcentral is "partial 16S ribosomal RNA". It matches the Rfam family "Bacterial small subunit ribosomal RNA", at positions 524 to 776 of the family's 1533-position model. The record is from RNAcentral.
UACGAAGGGGGCUAGCGUUGCUCGGAAUUACUGGGCGUAAAGCGCACGUAGGCGGCCAACUAAGUCAGACGUGAAAUCCCUCAGCUUAACUGGGGAACUGCGUCUGAUACUGGAUGGCUUGGAUUCGGGAGAGGAAUGCGGAAUUCCAGGUGUAGCGGUGAAAUGCGUAGAUAUCUGGAGGAACACCGGUGGCGAAGGCGGCAUUCUGGACCGACAUUGACGCUGAGGAGCGAAAGCCAGGGGAGCAAACGGG